This 1042-nucleotide ribosomal RNA is filed under the name bacterium C3-3-1. Its description in RNAcentral is "bacterial SSU rRNA". It matches the Rfam family "Bacterial small subunit ribosomal RNA", at positions 8 to 1046 of the family's 1533-position model. The record is from RNAcentral.
AGAGUUUGAUCCCGGCUCAGGACGAACGCUGGCGGCGUGCCUAAUACAUGCAAGUCGAGCGGACAGAUGGGAGCUUGCUCCCUGAUGUUAGCGGCGGACGGGUGAGUAACACGUGGGUAACCUGCCUGUAAGACUGGGAUAACUCCGGGAAACCGGGGCUAAUACCGGAUGGUUGUUUGAACCGCAUGGUUCAAACAUAAAAGGUGGCUUCGGCUACCACUUACAGAUGGACCCGCGGCGCAUUAGCUAGUUGGUGAGGUAACGGCUCACCAAGGCAACGAUGCGUAGCCGACCUGAGAGGGUGAUCGGCCACACUGGGACUGAGACACGGCCCAGACUCCUACGGGAGGCAGCAGUAGGGAAUCUUCCGCAAUGGACGAAAGUCUGACGGAGCAACGCCGCGUGAGUGAUGAAGGUUUUCGGAUCGUAAAGCUCUGUUGUUAGGGAAGAACAAGUACCGUUCAAAUAGGGCGGUACCUUGACGGUACCUAACCAGAAAGCCACGGCUAACUACGUGCCAGCAGCCGCGGUAAUACGUAGGUGGCAAGCGUUGUCCGGAAUUAUUGGGCGUAAAGGGCUCGCAGGCGGUUUCUUAAGUCUGAUGUGAAAGCCCCCGGCUUAACCGGGGAGGGUCAUUGGAAACUGGGGAACUUGAGUGCAGAAGAGGAGAGUGGAAUUCCACGUGUAGCGGUGAAAUGCGUAGAGAUGUGGAGGAACACCAGUGGCGAAUGCGACUCUCUGGUCUGUAACUGACGCUGAGGAGCGAAAGCGUGGGGAGCGAACAGGAUUAGAUACCCUGGUAGUCCACGCCGUAAACGAUGAGUGCUAAGUGUUAGGGGGGUUUCCGCCCCUUAGUGCUGCAGCUAACGCAUUAGCACUCCGCCUGGGGAGUACGGUCGCAAGACUGAACCUGAAGGAUUGACGGGGGCCCGCACAACCGGUGACAUGUGUUUACUCGAAACACGCGAACACCUUACCAGUCUGACAUCUCUGACAUCUAGAGAAGGACGUACCCUUCGGCGCCAGAUGGACAGAUGAGCAU